Molecule: long non-coding RNA, 450 nt
Filed under: Salmo salar (Atlantic salmon)
Lineage: Eukaryota; Metazoa; Chordata; Actinopteri; Salmoniformes; Salmonidae
Description: lncRNA (ENSSSAG00000115995.1, ENSSSAG00075034110.1)
Source: RNAcentral
CAGGGGAUCAAAUACUUUUUUCCCACACUGUACUCAACCCGUAGCACUGUAACCCAAAGAAGUUUUGCUUUGACUGCAACGCAAACUGUAUUGCUUAGCGAUUAAAUAUAUAUUUUUAAAAUUGCCACUGGAAGUUUCCUGUACAAUGUGGGCAAUGCGGAACGAUUUGGCAAGAUUCCAAGCGUCAUUGGUUCUAUAGAUGGGACACAUCCUCAUUCAAAGACCCUCUGGACCAGAUGAGGGAGAUUACGUGAAUAGAAAAUCUUUUCACAGCAUAAACAGAUCUGCGACUCCCAUGGGGUUACAACUGAACAUAGUACACAUUGUUUCCCGUGUUGUCCUGAAAAUUAUUAUUCAUCCUACAUAGGCUAUGGAAUGGGCAUACCAUUGCAACUGUGACAGGCUACUACAAUUUACACACAGUAUUUAUCCAGAGCCUUGACAUGUAAU